RNAcentral lists this ribosomal RNA (469 nucleotides) under uncultured bacterium. Its description in RNAcentral is "partial 16S ribosomal RNA". It matches the Rfam family "Bacterial small subunit ribosomal RNA", at positions 28 to 507 of the family's 1533-position model. The record is from RNAcentral.
GACGAACGCUGGCGGCGUGCUUAACACAUGCAAGUCGAACGGUGAAGCGAGUGCUUGCACUCGUGGAUCAGUGGCGAACGGGUGAGUAACACGUGAGUAACCUGCCCAUCACUCUGGGAUAAGCACUGGAAACGGUGUCUAAUACUGGAUACGACCAACCCUUGCAUGGGGUGUUGGUGGAAAGUUUUAUCGGUGAUGGAUGGACUCGCGGCCUAUCAGCUUGUUGGCGGGGUAAUGGCCCACCAAGGCGACGACGGGUAGCCGGCCUGAGAGGGUGACCGGCCACACUGGGACUGAGACACGGCCCAGACUCCUACGGGAGGCAGCAGUGGGGAAUAUUGCACAAUGGGCGAAAGCCUGAUGCAGCGACGCCGCGUGAGGGAUGACGGCCUUCGGGUUGUAAACCUCUUUCAGCAGGGAAGAAGCGAAAGUGACGGUACCUGCAGAAGAAGCACCGGCUAACUACGUG